CUCUGGUAACAUCACAAGAUUUAUUAACUUUGGCAUGAACAAACCCUUCAACACCGAGUAGCAUAUAAUCCAAUCACGAAAAAAAAAAGCUGAACAACCCAGAACAUGUGAUGCCUUUAUUUUGCAUGUGGACUCAUAUCAAAUAUAGCGGGUGCAGCGCAGAGCAUCUGAAGAUAUUGAACGCAUCCCGCUCACUGCGGCAUACAGAAAUUUGUUGGCAAUCGACGGCGGUCAUCUCUUGUCCGAUGGCUCAAUCCUGACCACUUCUCCUGUCGUCAAGUCAUCACAGCUUCGCAGGCACGACCAUGAGCAGAGCAUAAACAACCAUGCCAUAAAUAUCUGAUCAUCGAGAAGCACAACCUAAAACAUUGAAUGAAUAGAGCAUUACAGCCCAAGAGGUAGAAUAACACGUACAUUCACAAUGUUGUUCUAAGCAUAGUCGAAAUUGUUGGGGAACGUUGCAGAAAAUUAAAAAUUUUCCUACGGUUUCACCAAGAUCCAUCUAUGAGUUCAUCUAAGCAAUGAGUCAUGGGAGAGAGAUUGCAUCUACAUACCACUUGUAGAUCGCGUGCGGAAGCGUUCAAGGGAACGGGGAUGAUGGAGUCGUACUCGCCGUGAUCCAAAUCACCGAUGACCAAGUGCUGAACGGACAGCACCUCCGCGUUCAACACACAUACGGAACGGACGACGUCUCCUCCUUCUUGAUCCAGCAAGGGGAAAGGAGAGGUUGAGGAAGAAGGCUCCAGCAGCAGCACGACGGCGUGGUGUUGGUGGAGAGGCAGUACUCCGACAGGGCUUCGCCAAGCGCUAACGGAGGAGGAGAGGUGUUGGGGAGGGGAGGGGCUGCACCUUGGAUCAGGUGUUCAGCCCUCCCCUCGCCCCUCUAUUUAUAGGGGAAGGGGAAAGGGGGCCGGCCCCCUCUAGAUGAGAUCUAGAGGGGGGGCGGCCAGGGAGGGGGCUUGCCCCCCAAGCAAAGGGGGUGCGCCCCCCUUAGGGUUCCCCCCCCACCAACCCUAGGCGCAUGGGCCCAAGGGGGGGUGCCCCAGCCCUCCAGGGGCUGGUUCCCUGCCCCAUGCGGCCCAUGGGGCCCUCCGAGAGGGGUGGCCCCUCCCGAUGGACCCCCGGAACCCUUCUGGUGGCCCCGGUACAAUACCGAUAUGCCCCCGAAACUUUCCGGUGUCCGCAUGACAACUUUCCAUAUAUAAAUCUUUACCUUCGGACCCUUCCGGAACUCCUCGUGACGUCAGGGAUCUCAUCCGAGACUCCGAACAACAUUCGGUAAUCACAUACAAGUCUUCCUAAUAACCCUAGCGUCAUUGAACCUUAAGUGUGUAGACCCUACGGGUUCGGGAGGCAUGUAGACAUGACCGAGACGGCUCUCCGGUCAAUAACCAACAGCGGGAUCUGGAUACCCAUGUUGGCUCCCACAUGCUCCUCGAUGAUGUCAUUGGAUGAACCACGAUGUCGAGGAUUCAAUCAACCCCGUAUAUUAUUCCCUUUGUCAAUCGGUACGUUACGUGCCCGAGACUCGAUCGUCGGUAUCCCAAUACCUCGUUCAGUCUCGUUACCGGCAAGUCACUUUACUCGUACCGUAAUGCAUGAUCCCGUGACCAAACACUUGGUCACUUUGAGCUCAUUAUGAUGAUGCAUUACCGAGUGGGCCCAGAGAUACCUCUCUGUCAUACGGAGUGACAAAUCCCAGUCUCGAUCCGUGUCAACCCAACAGACACUUUCGGAGAUACCUGUAGUGCACCUUUAUAGUCACCCAGUUACGUUGUGACGUUUGGUACACCCAAAGCACUCCUACGGUAUCCGAAAGUUACAUGAUCUCAUGGUCUAAGGAAGAUAUACUUGACAUUGGAAAAGCUCUAGCAAAACGAACUACACGAUCUUGUGCUAUGCUUAGGAUUGGGUCUUGUCCAUCACGUCAUUCUCCUAAUGACAUGAUCCCGUUGUCAAUGACAUCUAAUGUCCAUAGUUAGGAAACCAUGACUAUCUGUUGACCAACGAGCUAGUCAACUAGAGGCUUACUAGGGACGUGUUGUGGUCUAUGUAUUCACACGUGUAUUACGAUUUCCGGAUAAUACAAUUAUAGCAUGAAUAAAAGACAAUUAUCAUGAACAAGGAAAUAUAAUAAUAAUACUUUUAUUAUUGCCUCUAGGGCAUAUUUCCAACAGUCUCCCACUUGCACUAGAGUCAAUAAUCUAGUUACAUUGUGAUGAAUCGAACACCCAUAGAGUUCCGGUGUUGAUCAUGUUUUGCUCGUGAGAGAGGUUUAGUCAAUGGAUCUGCGACAUUCAGAUCCGUAUGCACUUUGCAAAUAUCUAUGUCUCCAUCUUGAACAUUUUCACGGAUGGAGUUGAAGCGACGCUUGAUGUGCCUGGUCUUCUUGUGAAACCUGGGCUCCUUGGCAAGGGCAAUAGCUCCAGUGUUGUCACAGAAGAGUUUGAUCGGCCCCGACGCAUUGGGUAUGACUUCUAGGUCGGUGAUGAACUCCUUCACCCAAAUUGCUUCAUGCGCUGCCUCCGAGGCUGCCAUGUACUCCGCUUCACAUGUAGAUCCCGCCACGACGCUCUGCUUGCAGCUGCACCAGCUUACUGCUCCACCAUUCAACAUAUACACGUAUCCGGUUUGUGACUUAGAGUCAUCCAGAUCUGUGUCGAAGCUAGCGUCGACGUAACCCUUUACGACGAGCUCUUCGUCACGUCCAUAAACGAGAAACAUGUCCUUUGUCCUUCAGGAUAUUCUUGACCGCUGUCCAGUGUUCCUUGCCGGAAUUACUUUGGUACCUUCCUACCAAACUUACGACAAGGUUUACAUCAGGUCUGGUACACAACAUGGCAUACAUAAUAGAUCCUAUGGCUGAGGCAUAGGGGAUGACGCUCAUCUCUUCUUUAUCUUUUGCCGUGGUUGGGCAUUGAGCCGAGCUCAAUCUCACACCUUGCAGUACAGGCAAGAACCCUUUCUUGGACUGAUCCAUUUUGAAAUUCUUCAAAAUCUUAUCAAGGUAUGUGCUUUGUGAAAGACCUAUGAGGCGUCUCGAUCUAUCCCUAUAGAUCUUGAUGCCUAAUAUGUAAGCAGCUUCUCCAAGGUCCUUCAUUGAAAAACACUUAUUCAAGUAGGCCUUAAUGUUGUCCAAGAAUUUCUAUAUCAUUUCCCAUCAAAAGUAUGUCAUCUACAUAUAAUAUGAGAAAUGCUACAGAGCUCCCACUCACUUUCUUGUAAACGCAGGCUUCUCCAUAAGUCUGCAUAAACCCAAACGCUUUGAUCAUCUCAUCAAAGCGAAUGUUCCAACUCCGAGAUGCUUGCACCAGCCCAUAAAUGGAUCGCUGGAGCUUGCAUACUUUGUUAGCAUUCUUAGGAUCGACAAAACCUUUCGGCUGCAUCAUAUACAGUUCUUCCUUAAGAUGCCCGUUAAGGAAUGCCAUUUUGACGUCCAUCUGCCAUAUCUCAUAAUCACAGUAUGCGGCAAUUGCUAACAUGAUUCGGACGGACUUAAGCUUCGCUACAGGAGAGAAAGUCUCAUCGUAGUCAAUCCCUUGAACUUGCCGAUAACCCUUAGCGACAAGUCGAGCUUUAUAGAUGGUGACAUUACCAUCCGCGUCCGUCUUUUUUUUAAAGAUCCAUUUGUUUUCUAUUGCUCGCCGAUCAUCGGGCAAGUCAGUCAAAGUCCAUACUUUGUUUUCAUACAUGGAUUCUAUCUCGGAUUUCAUGGCUUCUAGCCAUUUGUUGGAAUCUGGGCCCGCCAUCGCUUCUUCAUAGUUCGAAGGUUCACCGUUAUCUAACAACAUGAUUUCCAGGACAGGGUUGCCAUACCACUCUGGUGCGGAACGAGUCCUUAUGGACCUACGAAGUUCAGUAGCAACUUGAUCAUAAGUACCUUGAUCAUCAUCAUUAAUUUCCUCUCCAGUCGGUGUAGGCACCACAGGAAUGUUUUCCUGAGCUGCACUACUUUCCGGUUCAAGAGGUGGUACUUCAUUGAGUUCUACCUUCCUCCCACUUACUCCUUUCGAGAGAAACUCUUUUUCCAGAAAGGAUCCGUUCUUGGCAACGAAGAUCUUGCCCUCGGAUCUUAAGUAGAAGGUAUACCCAAUGGUUUCCUUAGGGUAUCCUAUGAAGACGCAUUUUUUCGACUUGGGUUCGAGCUUUUCAGGUUGAAGUUUCUUGACAUAAGCAUCACAUCCCCAAACUUUUAGAAACGACAGCUUAGGUUUCUUCCCAAACCAUAAUUCAUAUGGUGUCGUCUCAACGGAUUUAGACGGUGCCCUAUUUAAAGUGAAUGUAGCUGUCUCUAGAGCGUAUCCCCAAAAUGAUAGCGGUAAAUCGGUAAGAGACAUCAUAGAUCGCACCAUAUCCAAUAGAGUGCAAUUACGACGUUCGAACACACCGUUACGCUGAGGUGUUCCAGGCGGCGUGAGUUGUGAAACGAUUCCACAUUUUCUUAAGUGUGUACCAAAUUCGUGACUUAAAUAUUCUCCUCCAUGAUUCGAUCGUAAGAACUUUAUCUUUCGGUCACGUUGAUUCUCUACUUUAUUCUGAAAUUCCUUGAACUUUUCAAAGGUCUCAGACUUGUGUUUCAUCAAGUAGACAUACCCAUAUCUACUCAAGUCAUCAGUGAGAGUGAGAACAUAACGAUAUCCUCCGCGAGCCUCAACGCUCAUUGGACCACACACAUCAGUAUGUAUGAUUUCCAAUAAGUUGGUUGCUCGCUCCAUUGUUCCGGAGAACGGGGUCUUGGUCAUUUUGCCCAUGAGGCAUGGUUCGCAUGUGUCAAAUGAUUCAUAAUUUAGAGACUCUAAAAGUCCAUCAACAUGGAGCUUCUUCAUGCGCUUGACACCAAUGUGACCAAGGCGGCAGUGCCACAAGUAUGUGGGACUAUCGUUAUCAACUUUACAUCUUUUGGUAUUCACACUAUGGAUAUGUGUAACAUUACGUUCGAGAUUCAUUAAGAAUAAACCAUUGACCAUCGGGGCAUGAACAUAAAACAUAUCUCUCAUAUAAAUAGAACAACCAUUAUUCUCGGAUUUAAAUGAGUAGCCAUCUCGUAUUAAACGAGAUCCAGAUACAAUGUUCAUGCUCAAACUUGGCACUAAAUAACAAUUAUUGAGCUUUAAAACUAAUCCCGUAGGUAAAUGUAGAGGUAGCGUGCCGACGGCGAUCACAUCGACCUUGGAACCAUUCCCGACGCGCAUCGUCACCUCGUUCUUCGCCAGUCUCCUCUUAUUCCGCAGCUCCUGCUGUGAGUUACAAAUGUGAGCAACAGCACCGGUAUCAAAUACCCAGGAGUUACUACGAGUACUGGUAAGGUACACAUCAAUUACAUGUAUAUCAAAUAUACCUUUAGUGUUGUCGGCCUUCUUGUCUGCUAAGUAUUUGGGGCAGUUCCGCUUCCAGUGACCCUUCCCCUUGCAAUAAAAGCACUCAGUCUCAGGCUUGGGUCCAUUCUUUGACUUAUUCCCGACAACUGGCUUACCGGGCGCGGUAACAUCUUUGUCGUCCUUCUUGAAGUUCUUCUUACCCUUGCCCUUCUUGAACUUAGUGGUCUUAUUGACCAUCAACACUUGAUGUUCUUUCUUGAUUUCAACCUCUGCUGACUUCAGCAUUGAGAAUACUUCAGGAAUGCUCUUCACCAUCCCCUGCAUAUUGUAGUUCAACACAAAGCUCUUGUAGCUCGGUGGGAGCGACUGAAGGAUUCUGUCAAUGACCGCCUCUUCCGGGAGAUUGAUCUCCAACUGGGACAGGCGGUUGUGCAACCCAGACAUUUUGAGUAUGUGCUCACUGACAGAACUGUUUUCCUCCAUCUUACAACUAUAGAACUUGUCGGAGACUUCAUAUCUCUUGACCCGGGCAUGAGCUUGGAAAACCAUUUUCAGCUCCUCGAACAUCUCAUAUGCUCUAUGCUUCUCAAAACGCUUUUGGAGCCCCGGAUCUAAGCUGUAAAGCAUGCCGCACUGAACGAGGGAGUAAUCAUCAGCACGUGAUUGCUAAGUGUUCAUAACGUCUUGGUUCUUUGGGAUGGGUGCUUCACCUAGCGGUGCAUCUAGGACAUAAUCUUUCUUGGCUGCUAUGAGGAUGAUCCUCAGGUUCCGGACCCAGUCCGAAUAGUUGCUGCCAUCAUCUUUCAGCUUGGUUUUCUCUAGGAACGUGUUGAAGUUCAUGUUGACAUGAGCGUUGGCCAUUUGAUCUACAAGACAUAUUUUGCAAAAGUUUUAGACUAAGUUCAUGAUAAUUAAGUUCAUCUAAUCAAAUUAUUUAAUGAACUCCCACUCAGAUUAGACAUCCCUCUAGUCAUCUAAGUGUUACACGAUCCGAGUCGACUAGGCCGUGUCCGAUCAUCGCGUGAGACGGACUAGUCAUCAUCGGUGAACAUCUCCAUGUUGAUCAUAUCUUCCAUACGACUCAUGUUCGACCUUUCGGUCUCUGUGUUCCGAGGCCAUGUCUAUACAUGCUAGGCUCGUCAAGUUAACCCUAAGUAUUCUGCAUGUGUAAAUCUGUCUUAUACCUGUUGUAUGUGAACAUAAGGAUCUAUCACACCCGAUCAUCAUGUGGUGCUUCGAAAUGACGAACUUUAGCAAUGGUGCACAGUUAGGGGGAACACUUUCUUGAAAUUAUUAUAAGGGAUCAUCUUAUUUACUACCGCCGUUCUAAGUAAACAAGAUGCAUAAAACAUAAUAAACAUCACAUGCAAUUAUAUAGUAGUGACAUGAUAUGGCCAAUAUCAUAUAGCUCCUUCGAUCUCCAUCUCCGGGGCUCCAUGAUCAUCUUCGUCACCGGCAUGACACCGUGAUAUCCAUCAUCAUGAUCUCCAUCAUUGUGUCUUCAUGAAGUUGUCACGCCAACGACUACUUCUACUUCUAUGGCUAACGCGUUUAGCAAUAAAGUAAAGUAAUUUACAUGGCGUUCUUUAAUGACACGCAGGUCAUACAAAAAUAAAGACAACUCCUAUGGCUCCUGCCGGUUGUCAUACUCAUCGACAUGCAAGUCGUGAUUCCUAUUACAAGAACAUGAUCUCAUACAUCACAAUAUAUCAUUCAUCAUUCAUCACAACUUCUGGCCAUAUCACAUCACAUGACAAUUGCUGCAAAAACAAGUUAGACGUCCUCUAAUUGUUGUUGCAUCUUUUACGUGGCUGCAAUUGGGUUCUAGCAAGAACGUUUUCUUACCUACGAAUAACCACAACGUGAUUUUGUCAACUUCUAUUUACCCUUCAUAAGGACCCUUUUCAUCUAAUCCGCUCCAACUAAAGUAGGAGAGACAAACACCCGCUAGCCACCUUAUGCAACUAGUGCAUGUCAGUCGGUGGAACCUGUCUCACGUAAGCGUACGUGUAAGGUCAGUCCGGGUCGCUUCAUUCCACAAUACCGCUGAAGAAAGAAAAGACUAGUAGCGGCAAGCAAGUUGACAAGAUCUACGCCCACAACAAAAUUGUGUUCUACUCGUGCAAUAGAGAACUACGCAUAGACCUAGCUCAUGAUGCCACUGUUGGGGAACGUUGCAGAAAAUUAAAAUUUUUCCUACGGUUUCACCAAGAUCCAUCUAUGAGUUCAUCUAAGCAACGAGUCAUGGGAGAGAGAUUGCAUCUACAUACCACUUGUAGAUCGCGUGCGGAAGCGUUCAAGGGAACGGGGAUGAUGGAGUCGUACUCGCUGUGAUCCAAAUCACCGAUGACCAAGUGCUGAACGGACAGCACCUCCGCGUUCAACACACAUACGGAACGGACGACGUCUCCUCCUUCUUGAUCCAGCAAGGGGAAAGGAGAGGUUGAGGAAGAAGGCUCCAGCAGCAGCACGACGGCGUGGUGUUGGUGGAGAGGCAGUACUCCGACAGGGCUUCGCCAAGCGCUAACGGAGGAGGAGAGGUGUUGGGGAGGGGAGGGGCUGCGCCUUGGAUCGGGUGUUCAGCCCUCCCCUCGCCCCUCUAUUUAUAGGGGAAGGGGAAAGGGGGGCGGCCCCCUCUAGAUGAGAUCUAGAGGGGGGGCCAGGGAGGAGGCUUGCCCCCCAAGCAAAGGGGGUGCGCCCCCCUUAGGGUUCCCCCCCAACCCUAGGCGCGUGGGCCCAAGGGGGAGGGGCGCCCCCAGCCCUCCAGGGGCUGGUUCCCUGCCCCAUGCGGCCCAUGGGGCCCUCCGAGAGGGGUGGCCCCUCCCGGUGGACCCCCGGAACCCUUCCGGUGGCCCCGGUACAAUACCGAUAUGCCCCCGAAACUUUCCGGUGUCCGCAUGACAACUUCCCAUAUAUAAAUCUUUACCUCCGGACCCUUCCAGAACUCCUCAUGAUGUCCGGGAUCUUAUUUGGGACUCCGAACAACAUUCGGUAAUCACAUACAAGUCUUCCUAAUAACCCUAGCGUCACCGAACCUUAAGUGUGUAGACCCUACGGGUUCGGGAGGCAUGCAGACAUGACUGAGACGGCUCUCCGGUCAAUAACCAACAGCGGGAUCUGGAUACCCAUGUUGGCUCCCACAUGCUCCUCGAUGAUGUCAUCGGAUGAACCACGAUGUCGAGGAUUCAAUCAACCCCGUAUACUAUUCCCUUUGUCAAUCGGUACGUUACGUGCCCGAGACUCGAUCGUCGGUAUCCCAAUACCUCAUUCAGUCUCGUUACCGGCAACUCACUUUACUCGUACCAUAAUGCAUGAUCCCGUGACCAAACACUUGGUCACUUUGAGCUCAUUAUGAUGAUGCAUUACCGAGUGGGCUUAGAGAUACCUCUCCGUCAUACGGAGUGACAAAUCCCAGUCUCGAUCUGUGUCAACCCAACAGACACUUUCGGAGAUACCUAUAGUGCACCUUUAUAGUCACCCAGUUACGUUAUGACAUUUGGUACACCCAAAGCACUCCUACGGUAUCCGGGAGUUACAUGAUCUCAUGGUCUAAGGAAGAGAUACUUGACAUUGGAAAAGCUCUAGCAAAACGAACUACACGAUCUUGUGCUAUGCUUAGGAUUGGGUCUUGUCCAUCACGUCAUUCUCCUAAUGACGUGAUCCCGUUGUCAAUGACAUCUAAUGUCCAUAGUCAGGAAACCAUGACUAUCUGUUGACCAACGAGCUAGUCAACUAGAGGCUUACUAGGGACGUAUUGUGGUCUAUAUAUUCACACGUGUAUUACGAUUUACGAAUAAUACAAUUAUAGCAUGAAUAAAAGACAAUUAUCAUGAACAAGGAAAUAUAAUAAUAAUACUUUUAUUAUUGCCUCUAGGGCAUAUUUCCAACAGAAAUGCCAUGCAAACUAAGUACAACAUGUUAAACGCUCGAUAAAGAAAUCCCUAGUAAAAAGUAUAUCAUUCAAUAUACGUAUACAUGUAUAAUGUUAGAGGCACUUGAUCCUUGGCAAGUAGUACAGGGGAACAUCAGGAGAAGAAGGAAAAGUUGGAAAACAUGACCGGCCUGUAUUAGCAGUUCAUGUGCGCUUGUAAAUGAAUUAGUGAGUUCAAUGUGGCCCAUCCUUCCAGAUAUAGAAAAUAUAUGUUGAUAUUUUAAAUAACCAAUAAAUUUAUCUGCAUCAUGCAACAUAAAAUUGAAGCCCAAUAAGAUUAUGAAUAACACACAGAUGGAAAGCCUACAAUGGAUUUAACACACAAACAUCUCAAAACUGCUACUGUCCUCCCUAGCAUAUAUUCAAUAACAGAUGUAGCAAAGAUUACCUUUGACUGCAAAAACGUUUACUUUUACUGGAAAUUGUUGAGUUCCUCCACCACAUAUGUACACAUGCAGCUAUCCGAAGUGAAAUUCUGUUUUCUGUAGCACUCAAAGUAUCACAAAAGAUAUUUAAUGAUGUCAGUUUUUUUCUUGAAGAGACCAAGGGGAAUAAGGUUGAGCGGGGAAGACGUACAUGAUACAUCAUCCAACGGCUGCAAAAAAUGAAUACCACCUGGUAGAAACUAAUCACACAUUUAAACGUCUAAGCAAAGCAGGACAUGCAACAAAAAAUCCAAAGAGAAUAAUACCAUGGCUUUAAUGCCCCAAUCACUAUUCAGGGGUCUUGUAUCAGGCAUGCCGCUGCUACUGU
RNAcentral lists this long non-coding RNA (10002 nucleotides) under Triticum aestivum (bread wheat). RNAcentral describes it as "long non-coding RNA (TAES_LNC012147)". The record is from RNAcentral. Lineage: Eukaryota; Viridiplantae; Streptophyta; Magnoliopsida; Poales; Poaceae.